GACGAACGCUGGCGGCGUGCUUAACACAUGCAAGUCGAACGGAAAGGCCCUGCUUUUGUGGGGUGCUCGAGUGGCGAACGGGUGAGUAACACGUGAGUAACUUCCCUUUACUUUUGGGUAACUUUCGGGAACUUGGGCUAAUACCCGGAUAGGACCUCUGCUUGCAGGGUGGGGGUUGGAAAGUUUCGGCGGUUGGGGAUGGACUCGCGGCUUAUCAGCUUGUUGGUGGGGUAGUGGCUUACCAAGGCUUUGACGGGUAGCCGGCCUGAGAGGGUGACCGGCCACAUUGGGACUGAGAUACGGCCCAGACUCCUACGGGAGGCAGCAGUGGGGAAUAUUGCACAAUGGGCGGAAGCCUGAUGCAGCAACGCCGCGUGCGGGAUGACGGCCUUCGGGUUGUAAACCGCUUUCGCCUGUGACGAAGCGUGAGUGACGGUAAUGGGUAAAGAAGCACCGGCUAACUACGUG
This 468-nucleotide ribosomal RNA is filed under the name uncultured bacterium. RNAcentral describes it as "partial 16S ribosomal RNA". It matches the Rfam family "Bacterial small subunit ribosomal RNA", at positions 28 to 507 of the family's 1533-position model. The record is from RNAcentral.